Molecule: transfer RNA, 72 nt
Filed under: Thermofilum adornatum 1505
Lineage: Archaea; Thermoproteati; Thermoproteota; Thermoprotei; Thermofilales; Thermofilaceae
Also listed under: 1 other name
Description: Thermofilum adornatus 1505 tRNA-Val
Rfam family: tRNA
About the family: Transfer RNA (tRNA) molecules are approximately 80 nucleotides in length. Their secondary structure includes four short double-helical elements and three loops (D, anti-codon, and T loops). Further hydrogen bonds mediate the characteristic L-shaped molecular structure. tRNAs have two regions of fundamental functional importance: the anti-codon, which is responsible for specific mRNA codon recognition, and the 3' end, to which the tRNAs corresponding amino acid is attached (by aminoacyl-tRNA synthetases). tRNAs cope with the degeneracy of the genetic code in two manners: having more than one tRNA (with a specific anti-codon) for a particular amino acid; and 'wobble' base-pairing, i.e. permitting non-standard base-pairing at the 3rd anti-codon position.
Source: RNAcentral
GGGCCCGUCGUCUAGCGGCAGGAUGCCUCCCUGACGCGGAGGUGGUCCUGGGUUCAAAUCCCAGCGGGCCCA